Molecule: ribosomal RNA, 301 nt
Filed under: uncultured bacterium
Lineage: Bacteria
Description: partial 16S ribosomal RNA
Rfam family: Bacterial small subunit ribosomal RNA
Source: RNAcentral
CAGCCGCCGGGGAAUACGGAGGGAGCUAGCGUUGUUCGGAAUUACUGGGCGUAAAGCGCACGUAGGCGGUUAUUCAAGUCAGAGGUGAAAGCCCGGGGCUCAACCCCGGAACUGCCUUUGAAACUAGAUGACUGGAAUCUUGGAGAGGUCAGUGGAAUUCCGAGUGUAGAGGUGAAAUUCGUAGAUAUUCGGAAGAACACCAGUGGCGAAGGCGACUGACUGGACAAGUAUUGACGCUGAGGUGCGAAAGCGUGGGGAGCAAACAGGAUUAGAUACCCGGGUAGUCCCUGUCUCUUAUACA